UCCCCGUUACCGGGGCAGUCUGAAUAGAAAAAUUCAACUAUCCAUAAGGGUUGCGCUCGUUGAAGGACUUAACCUAACAUCUCACGACACGAGCUGACGACGGCCAUGCAACACCUGUCACUGAGUUCCGGCUCUGAGUACACAAACUAAUUUAUGUGCUCAGAGCCGGCACUCACUCCUUUCGGAGUAAUUCUCAGGAUGUCAAAUCUUGGUAAGGUUCUUGGCUUAGCAUCCAAUUAAACAACACGCUCCACCGCUUGUGCGGGUCCCCGUCAAUUCCUUUGAGUUUUAAUCUUGCGACCGUACUCCCCAGGCGGGAUGCUUAACGCGUUAGCUUCGCUACUGAACGGGUCGAUACGUCCAACAGCUAGCAUCCAUCGUUUACGGCGUGGACUAC
RNAcentral lists this unclassified non-coding RNA (397 nucleotides) under uncultured bacterium. Its description in RNAcentral is "contains 16S-23S intergenic spacer region". The record is from RNAcentral.